AAUAGCCUCAUUUUUCGUUUUUCUGUAUCCAAUGUUUGAUCAUUCGUAUUAUUUGAAAAAUUUGUACAAAAACUUAAAAAAAAUAGUCACGUAUAAAGUACUAUUCAUAUUUUAUCAUCUACUAACAAUAAAAAUAUUAAUCGAAAAAAAUUCAAAUAAGACGAAUGGUCAAACGUUGGCCAUGGAAAAACGAAAACUGAGAUUAUU
Oryza brachyantha (malo sina) is the source of this 207-nucleotide non-coding RNA. The record is from Rfam. NCBI's taxonomy places the organism in Eukaryota, Viridiplantae, Streptophyta, Magnoliopsida, Poales, Poaceae.